ACGUAGGGAGCAAGCGUUGUUCGGAUUUACUGGGCGUAAAGGGCGCGUAGGCGGCUUUGCAAGUGACGGGUGAAAGCCCUCGGCUUAACCGAGGAACUGCCUGUCAGACUGUGAGGCUUGAGACCAGGAGAGGUGAGUGGAAUUCCCAGUGUAGCGGUGAAAUGCGUAGAUAUUGGGAGGAACACCAGUGGCGAAGGCGGCUCACUGGACUGGUACUGACGCUGAGGCGCGAAAGCGUGGGGAGCAAACAGGA
This 253-nucleotide ribosomal RNA is filed under the name uncultured prokaryote. RNAcentral's name for it is "partial 16S ribosomal RNA". It matches the Rfam family "Bacterial small subunit ribosomal RNA", at positions 525 to 777 of the family's 1533-position model. The record is from RNAcentral.